CACGUAGGGGGCGAGCGUUGUCCGGAUUUAUUGGGCGUAAAGAGCUCGUAGGCGGUUUGGCAAGUCGGGUGUGAAAUUUCGAGGCUCAACCUCGAAACGCCACUCGAUACUGCCAUGACUGGAGUCCGGUAGAGGAGUGCGGAAUUCCUGGUGUAGCGGUGAAAUGCGCAGAUAUAGGGGAGAACACUCGUGGCGAAGGCGGCCAGCUGGACCAGUCCUGACGCUGAGGCGCGACAGCGUGGGGAGCAAACAGG
RNAcentral lists this ribosomal RNA (254 nucleotides) under uncultured bacterium. Its description in RNAcentral is "partial 16S ribosomal RNA". It matches the Rfam family "Bacterial small subunit ribosomal RNA", at positions 524 to 776 of the family's 1533-position model. The record is from RNAcentral.